CUUCCGAUCUCCUACGGGGGGCAGCAGUGAGGAAUAUUGGUCAAUGGACGCAAGUCUGAACCAGCCAAGUAGCGUGCAGGAUGACGGCCCUCCGGGUUGUAAACUGCUUUUAGUUGGGAAUAAAAGGGGGCUCGUGAGCCCCGUAUUGUAUGUACCAUCAGAAAAAGGACCGGCUAAUUCCGUGCCAGCAGCCGCGGUAAUACGGAAGGUCCGGGCGUUAUCCGGAUUUAUUGGGUUUAGAGGGAGCGUAGGCCGGCUUUUAAGUCAGCUGUGAAAGUCCGCGGCUCAACCGUGGAAUUGCAGUU
Molecule: ribosomal RNA, 305 nt
Filed under: uncultured bacterium
Lineage: Bacteria
Description: bacterial SSU rRNA
Rfam family: Bacterial small subunit ribosomal RNA
Source: RNAcentral